RNAcentral lists this ribosomal RNA (273 nucleotides) under uncultured bacterium. RNAcentral describes it as "partial 16S ribosomal RNA". It matches the Rfam family "Bacterial small subunit ribosomal RNA", at positions 524 to 796 of the family's 1533-position model. The record is from RNAcentral.
GACGUAGGGCGCGAGCGUUGUCCGGAUUUAUUGGGCGUAAAGAGCUCGUAGGCGGCCUGUCGCGUCGACUGUGAAAACCCGCGGCUCAACUGCGGGCCUGCAGUCGAUACGGGCAGGCUGGAGUUCGGUAGGGGAGACUGGAAUUCCUGGUGUAGCGGUGAAAUGCGCAGAUAUCAGGAGGAACACCGGUGGCGAAGGCGGGUCUCUGGGCCGAUACUGACGCUGAGGAGCGAAAGCGUGGGGAGCGAACAGGAUUAGAAACCCCUGUAGUCC